This 524-nucleotide ribosomal RNA is filed under the name Limosilactobacillus reuteri. RNAcentral describes it as "bacterial LSU rRNA". It matches the Rfam family "Bacterial large subunit ribosomal RNA", at positions 1 to 516 of the family's 2925-position model. The record is from RNAcentral. Lineage: Bacteria; Bacillati; Bacillota; Bacilli; Lactobacillales; Lactobacillaceae.
UUAGGUUAAGUUAUGAAGGGCGCAUGGUGAAUGCCUUGGUACUAGGAGCCGAUGAAGGACGGGACUAACACCGAUAUGCUUCGGGGAGCGGUAAGUACGCUUUGAUCCGGAGAUUUCCGAAUGGGGCAACCCAAUCAGCUUAGUCGCUGAUUACUUGACUAGUGAAUACAUAGCUAGCAAGAGGUAGACGCAGUGAACUGAAACAUCUUAGUAGCUGCAGGAAGAGAAAGAAAUAUCGAUUCCCUGAGUAGCGGCGAGCGAAAAGGGAAGAGCCCAAACCAACAAGCUUGCUUGUUGGGGUUGUAGGACUGAACAUUAGAGUUACCAAAGUGCGACGUAGUCGCAACAGUUGGGAAGCUGUGCCAUAGAGGGUGAAAGCCCCGUAGACGAAACGUCACACUCUCUGUUCAGGAUCCUGAGUACGGCGGGACACGUGAAACCCCGUCGGAACCCGCGAGGACCAUCUCGCAAGGCUAAAUACUCCCUAGUGACCGAUAGUGAACCAGUACCGUGAGGGAAAGGUG